RNAcentral lists this ribosomal RNA (229 nucleotides) under uncultured bacterium. Its description in RNAcentral is "partial 16S ribosomal RNA". It matches the Rfam family "Bacterial small subunit ribosomal RNA", at positions 568 to 796 of the family's 1533-position model. The record is from RNAcentral.
UGCGUAGGCGGAAUAUUAAGUCAGUGGUGAAAUCCUGCAGCUUAACUGUAGAACCGCCAUUGAUACUGGUAUUCUUGAAUUUAGUUGAGGUGGGCGGAACGUGUAAUGUAGCGGUGAAAUGCUUAGAUAUUACACAGAACACCGAUUGCGAAGGCAGCUCACUAAACUAACAUUGACGCUGAGGCACGAAAGCGUGGGUAGCAAACAGGAUUAGAUACCCUGGUAGUCC